UACGGAGGUCUCAAGCGUUGUUCGGAUUCAUUGGGCGUAAAGGGUGCGUAGGCGGCGCGGUAAGUCGGGUGUGAAAUCUUGGAGCUUAACUCCGAAACUGCAGUCGAUACUGCCGUGCUUGAGGACUGGAGAGGAGACUGGAAUUUACGGUGUAGCGGUGAAAUGCGUAGAUAUCGUAAGGAACACCAGUGGCGAAGGCGGGUCUCUGGACAGUUCCUGACGCUGAGGCACGAAGGCCAGGGGAGCAAACGGG
Molecule: ribosomal RNA, 253 nt
Filed under: uncultured bacterium
Lineage: Bacteria
Description: partial 16S ribosomal RNA
Rfam family: Bacterial small subunit ribosomal RNA
Source: RNAcentral